Gasterosteus aculeatus aculeatus (three-spined stickleback) is the source of this 13336-nucleotide long non-coding RNA. NCBI's taxonomy places the organism in Eukaryota, Metazoa, Chordata, Actinopteri, Perciformes, Gasterosteidae. The record is from Ensembl.
AUGCUCAACCUUAUUCUCCACCGCCCACCUUUUGACCUGAAACCUCAAACUCCCCCAAAUAAAUUCUUACCCGCCCACCUAACCCCCCCUCGGUCCUGUUCGGUCCUGUCCCGUAAACCUAACCUCACCUUCUCCCCCUGAACUCACCUCUUCCCCUCCCUCCGACCCACCAAACUCUCCCCCCCUCCCCCUCCUGCCCCGCCAGCUGUAACCCCGAGCUUACCUUUAAACGCGGUUAGCCCCGCCCCUCUCGACCCCUGAACACACCUCAGCUCGCCCAGUGUGGCCCCCUCUCCCGUUUGAACUCGCCCAUAACGUCCCACUGAACUUCAACACUUGUGUCUUUUCUCCCACACGUCCCACAGCAGACGGCAGAAGUAGCUCCACUUGGAAUAUCUACUUAAAUGCUGGUGUUCAUUCAUAUUGAGAGAAUUCCCCAUAAAAGGCCUUUGAUCUCAUCGUCCCGUUUUUCUCCUUCCUUGUAAACAGAAACGUCGUUGGAGGGUCAGACGCUCGUUAGACAUCCGUCGGGUUUCUCUCGAAAUCCACAUUCUCACAUUCUGAGGUUAUAACAUUCACAGCUGAGAGGCCUUAUGGAUUCGUCCAAUGCUGAAGCGCGCGCACACGCACACACACACACACACACACACACACACAGGGCAGCUCGUGUUUUCUGGUUGACCUUCGCCUCGCUCUUCUGUGCUCUCACCUCGUAAUUUAGCGCUUAUUUUCACAUUGCACGCACACAGGUAGAGAAACACAAACUCUCUGCAAACCACCGAUACAGACAUCCAGGGGGCCGGUCUCACCUCGACGGGUUAUCUCUCUCUUCUAGCCCCCCCCCCCACACACACACAGUGUGCGCUGACCCCGGAGCAGCUCAUUGAAGUCCCAAUAAAACACGGAGGAAUCGUCGGCACGCAACUUGACAUUCUAGUGGUUUGUUUGGAUAACCUCACACACACACACACACACACACACACACACACACGCACACACACACACUCGUUCUGCAGCACACAGUAUUUUACAUUUACGACUCUCCAGAUCCUGAGAGACCCCACUGCCUCGCUCGGCCUUCGGCGCUGCCCUCUGGUCCACCCCGCCACACACACACACAAACACACACACACGCGCACACAUACACACACACACUCUCUUUCCCAGCAAUUAUCUUCAAACUAAACACUGGCUCAGAAGCGGUAACAACAGAGCAGAGCUAUUGUGAGCACCGUACUUUUUUUGUCAGGUUGUUGCUACACUGACAUUUUUUAGGACUUUACGUCCACGGGAGACCAAUGAAUGGAAAGUGCUAAAUAUUCGCCUUCAAAUACACAAUAUCGAUUAAACGCAGGCAUACUUCGUUAUGACUUGACAAACGAUUCACUUACCUUCAGAAAUAUUCCUUUAUAAAACACAACUCUUAAUGGGACUCGGAGGCCUGUUCAGUCUCUGCACAACAAAUGUUAUGUUCUCAUAACUCUGGACGGACAUUUCGCUUUUUUUAAAUCAAAAUCUUGUGUUCGGCUUCUCCUUCGGAGUUUGGAAGUGGUUUGAAGUCGGGUUGUUGAAUAGAAGUCAAUGGCCGUAAAAUGUGCAGUCCUCCUCUUGAUGUAUAAAUCACACCGGUAACGAUAUUCCUAAAUGUUCCUCCUUAAUUGCUGUUUGCACAUGCACACGUGUGUGUUUGUGCUCUACUUUAGACAACUAAAGGCUGCACGCACUAUUUUGUUGGCCUGUGUGUGUGUGUCUGUGUGUGUACUCCUGUUCCCCCUGCUGUGUGUUCCAGGUCUGUACUUAUGAGUCUCUCCCUGAGAACUAAAUCUUCUAUAACUUUCACCUCAACAUGACCUUCGAUUUAAGUGUGUGAGUGUGUAAACGGCGUAAUCAUUACCUCACCCUGACCUGUGUGUGUGUGUGUGUGUGUGUGUGUGCGCGCUUUUUAUGUCACCUAAUCCUGACCUCGACCUCUUGACAACACUCUCUUUCACGAUAUAAAACACUGUAAUGGUGGCGUUUUUCACUUCAAAAGGCGCACACUGAGGUUUCGGGGGAAACACAUCAGUCAUUUUACGCGUUCAGGUUAUGAGAACGCAGACACCAAAAUCAUCCGCGUGCACCUCGUACAUCAUCCCGUGCACUUCAACGUGGACCAGGGCCCCUCUAAAGUCUGUCAUUUGAAGGCACCAGGAGUUUCAGGACCUCAGAUCGUGUAACGCUGAUACUUUUGGGUCAAUAAAUAUGUCGCAUAGAUUUGUAUCUGUCUUAUAGAUUUAAGGGGAGCAAAUUCAGCAGUGGUUCUGCCACAAGCGCCAAUUAAGGGGGUUGUGGUCGAUGUCAGAAGCCUGUGUAACGUCAGCACACGAGUCCAAAGGUGGGAUUCUUAUUUAGGAUCAGCUUCCACUAAAUGGCACCAUGAGAUGAGAAGGUCAGGUGAGUGGGUCGCAGGGGGGUGAGGGAGUGACCCACCCACUCGCGUUGGGGGAAUGAGUGGGUAACCGGGCGGCUAGAUGGGUGGGUAUGAGUGCAGUUGGGUAGUUGGGUAUGUGCGCGGUUGGGUAAGUGGGUGGGAUGUGAGUAGAAGAAGGUACAUAUUAUUUUAUUUCUAGGUCACUAUUUCCUAAUGUUUAACUGCUGUAUUUAGACAGAAAAUGUAACAAAGUAUAACCAGAAGUGAGACCCAACAACAGUUUCCACACAAAGGCAGUUCUUUAAAUAUGUAUUUUUGUGUUAUGAUGAAACACACUCUUCUUUUUGGAGGCCAACUCCUUUCAGCUCCGCAUAACGUGGCGAAUCCUCAUUUGUGGUUUCAUGCAGACAACGCGGCUGCCAUCGCAGAAUAAAGCCUUGACAUGAUAACGCUUCCAGCUAAAACACAGCGAAACCACGGACAUCUGUGAGGAGAGUCGCCCGUCAGUCCCUGAGAACACGUGCAGCGGCGCGCACAAAGGAGAGGACUUCACCUUCGGCCUCCCACCGCGUGAGGAAACGUCCCGCUCGCCCUCGACCGGCGCCGUGGUUAGUGUUACUGUCUCCUCUGCCGGAGUUCAGCGGCGGACGGUCCGACCGCAGACGAUUCGCAGACGCGUUCACCGCCACCUUCCCCCCCGACUGUCCUCGCCUCCUUGUUCCGCUGCUGGAAAGCACGAGGUGCCCGUUUAAGCCCCCCAAAAUCCUCUCGGCCCGGCGGGUCUUUUGCUUCUGGAAUGCGCAGCACUGAGAAUGUAUUUGAAGCGGGACGAAUUUCCCUCGAGCGGUGAAAAAGAUGUGUUUGAAGGUCGGGUUGGAGGUCGGGUUGGAGGACGGGUUGGAGGUCCGGUUGGAGGACGGGUUGGAGGAAGGUUACGAGGACGGGUUGGAGGUCGGGUACGAGGACGGGUUGGAGGUCGUGUUGGAGGUCGUGUUGGAGGUCGGGUUGGAGGUCGGGUUGGAGGACGGGUUGGAGGACGGGUUGGAGGACGGGUUGGAGGACGCGUGGAGUCGGUUCGGGCGUCGCUCGUCGAGGCCUCGCUGCCAGAUCUUACGGCAGGAUUAUGACGUCUCGUAAAUACUUCGACACAAAGCGGCCACGCAAUGAAAUACGCGGGCCGCCGUGUGCGAUCCAGCACGCCGUCCUCCCUGAAGGUCCAUUUCAUAUUCAUAAAUAAUGACGAAAAGUCCGACGCAAGAGAAAAUAACGUUGUCCUCGUACAGGGCCUUUAUUUCAAUAAUCCACACAUUCCGACAGGCUUCCCCUCCCGAACCACCUCUGUAAGCGUUUUAUCAUCACCACCACAUCUGGGGUGGGCAUUCGUCAAGGACAGAAACAUUGCGUCUUUACCUAAACAAGUACAACAAUUUAUAGCUUUCUAACUUUUAAAAUAGCACGCCGUGAAAGUUUUUACUGCUACUGACGUUGUAGUGAGGUUUGGACACACUCUGAUCUCAUCAAACAUGACUUCAGGGACGUUAAAUCAGCCCGUUUUAUCUCCGAGAGGAAGCCUUGACGUUUUUUACAAUGGGGAUUUACAGCUAACAAUAACUUCCUGCUGGGGACUCAAAGACUACAAAUAGAUGCAACAUUCAUAAAACGUUAUUUCUAUUGACAUUCUCAGGCAAUUAGAAGGGAUUGUAAUGAGCAACAUUUACAUGUGUGGAGGAAAAAGGCCUUUAAUGUUUAAUGGGUUUCAUCUUGAGCACAUAUAGUAUAUCAUGUGUUCAUACGUUUGGAUAAUUAACUGAUACCUAAUACAUGUUGAUGCAUAUUGCAAUGACUUUAUUUAAGAUGCUUUGUACUUUAUUUGGGAUAUUUUACUAAAUUUCUUUGGAUAUUUUAGUGAAUUUGCACAGAAUGUCACCAAAUAGCUUUUUACUGUCUUUUACUGUUUUCUUUUAGUGUAGGGUCUUACUAACAAUUUCCAGAUAUUUUUUGGGGGGCUACAUUUUCAGAGUGAUUGAAUUAGUUCCAACGAUGUCGUAAAAGUGAAUCCCGUAUAAACGUCAACCCCGCGCCGCCGUAACUGAUGUAGUGCCCCUGUGUUUAAAGACGGAGGCUCAGCCAAUCGGCUGCCUGCUUCAGAAUCACGGCCAACGUGGCGUCCAGCUGAAAUUAAAAAGAGCCGAGCCGCGGCCGCUCGCUCACUUCAACGGUUGUUGUUCCUCAAGCGGCAAAAAACAACAAACAAAAAAAAAGCAUCAUUCAUGGUUUUCAGAGGCAUCUCCGGCAAAUCCGGCCCACCUGUGUUUCCUUGACACGAGAGCUGUGUGUGUGUUUGUGUGUAAAUGCGUGUGUGUGUGCGUGAUUGGUUAUUAUGUUAUUUUGUCAACAGAACAGUUUUUAACAAGCACGUGGGCAUGAGCACCAAAUAGGUGAAUACAAAAAACAAAAAAAAGGAAUUACACUAUAAACACCAGCAGGAACGAGUGGGUCAGGGUUUAUGUGUGUGUGUGUGUGUUCCUGUGCGUGUUUGUGUGUGCUCUAUAAAGCGAUAGCGGAAUGUGCUCUCACUCUUUAAUGAGGUUCAUCAAAAACAGUCAGGCGUCAAGAAAUGAGCCUCUUCACACGCAACGAGGGACGGGGGGGACGGGGGGGAGGGCUCUAUCUCACACAUGGGAAGUAACGAACGGUCAAUAAACAGACCGCCGCGUUGGUCAGUUUAAAAACCUCAUUACACCAGCAAGGAAGAUCAGGUUUUUGGGGCCUUUUCUUGGCUCCAAAAGCAGACAUGCAGCACGAAUACAGGCGUCAAAUAGAAGGUGUGUGCAGCAUCCUCACGUCGGAUAGAGUCACGUGACCCGGUGGUGGGAAAGAGUAAUGCAGCCUCAAAGAAAAGACGCUUUGAAAAUGUGCAUUUCCAACGCGUUGGCACCGCCCGCGGAGGCCCCCGGUGAUACAAAACCAAGCGGGUGCGAAUGUUUUUGCCCAGAACGAAACCGGGAGGAACGCGCAGGGAGCCAGUGGAGGGAGAAAGUGACAAUAUGAGAGAUUUAAGGCGAGUUGGGACAAGAAAAAGAGGCUGAUUUACUGGAACAAAAAGAAGCGAUCAAGGAGAAAGAAGACGCAGUGAAGAUUUGUGAUUGAGCUUUUCUCUCCAAAUCUGAAAAAGUUCUCCGUCUUGGUUCCCCAUGAUGACGCUAAAUCUCAAAGCCCACAUUGUACCGCCUGCAUGCGGUUGUGUGUGUGUGUGUGUGUGUGUGUAUAUAAAUCAACAGCAUGUUUUCUUUCACUCUGCUCCAGUGGAAUAUUUUUUUAAUGAGUUGUUUUAUUCCCGACUCCCGACCGUCACAUGAACGCUGACGCACCGUCGGAGACAAGCGUAUGAAACGGGGGGACGGAGGACUUAUAGAGGCCGAGGGACACACACACACACACACACACACACAGAUCAACUCCUGCUUUGAUCGGCCGUAUACUUGUGUUUUAUUUUAUAAAAGUUCUCUUCUCUGUUGCACGGAUCCAAAAUGCAACAAACACACACACACACACACACAAAAUGUGCUGGCAGGGGAAAAAUGUUUGAUGUCGAAAUACAGUUUGUAAUCUGCACCAAACAUUCUCGGAAAGGACGUUUUGUACAUGUGUCUGAACAUAUACACGAGAAGAGAAAAACAACCGAAGGCGCGCCAAAACAUCCAGGUCUUCACAACAGCUUCAGAGAUACUUCACAGGUUGUGACCUCAUUCGCCUUCCUAUCAGCCCUCUUAUCUAUGUGUGUGUGUGUGUGGUGUCGUGUCAGAUAGGAUGUCUGAUCUUUUAUCGCUCUGGCUGCAGAAUCACCUGCCAGAUGAACCGGCGGGUUCAGCCUGCGAGAGCUUCGGGGCCUCGACAUCCCCGGGACGGCCGGAGGCCGCGGCGAGACAACACGAGGAUGCAGAUUAAACGUCAGCGCGAACCGCUUACGAAAAACAGUCCGGAGCGUUUGUGCGGUCCUGCUCCUGAAAUAUUUUGCCGUUAUUUCUUCUCUCAGUUUGGCGCAUUGAGGCAACGAAACUCUCUUGAACGCCGGCGGCGCUGAAUGUCAAACGUCACAGGAGAGAUUGUCUCGUUUUGUAAAGCAGAAAUGAAGAAUUCUGGGGAAUUUUAUCUCGCAAUAAUCUCUGGAAAACAAAUUUCAUUUCAAACUACAAAACUACAACAACAAUCAGACACUUCUCUGCCCCAAAGUAGCUAAAUAAAUUCACCUUUUCACCAUUUGAAUGAAUACUGGAGCCAGUGGGAAACCACAACUUCCCAGAGUCAGCCAACGAGGUCCAACAUUAAAACCUGUGAGCUUUUAGAGGGCUGCUCGGCCUAUUCUGUACAGUCGUUUUCUUCAUUUUCCCCUCUGAAUGCUAAGCUACGCUAAUGGUCUUGUGGCCCUCGCUUCGUACAGACUCGAGAGUGGCAUCAAUCUUCUCAUUAGCUCUUGGCAUGAAAGCGGACAACGUGCGUUUCCCAUGUUGAACAAUGGCUUUGACAAAAUAAAUAAAGGGUCACAUUCCGCGGAUCAAACGAUGCCUCGCUGCAGCGACGAGCUGAUUGGAUUUGCCACGAGGUCUUUUUCAGGUUGUCAAGGCACCGCAAGCAUCUUUGAGUUUGGCACCCGGGUGGAUUUACCAGAAGUUACACAGUCAUCAUGUCUGCAGAUCCACCGAGGAAACCAAACGCCUGUCGGGACCUCACCACUUCUUUGUGUCCCUCCCUGAUUCAAUCAGCUUUGUUGGAUGCAGAUUUCUCGGACUGAUACAAGUGGGCGCAAUAUUUACUUUUCUUACACAGUAAACAUCUUUCUAUUUAGUCUACCAGGUCGCUGAUGUGUUUGAGCCAAACUUUGUUAGUGUGAGGUUGGUCCUGGCUGGAGGUUUAUUUUAGGGCAACAUUUGUGUGUUUUUUCGGAUGUGGAUCAGAUCACUUUGAGGCUCUUUGACGGUAACUUUGUGUUUUGACUCGCGUCUGUGUUCACGGUCUGGUAAUUUUGUGUUUUGUAUGUUCUGCCCACAGACUGUAUAUAAGGAGGGGACAUCGGUUGGUCUUUGACGCAUCUAGUUUGACAUUGGGGUUUAGUCUUGUUUGAGCCAGAAGUUACCAUAUUUGGACAAGGUUGAGUCCAACGAGGCCCGGGAGGGCCAGAUCCUGUUAGCAGCUAAUGCUAUCGCUAGCUGGGUUAUCAAAAAGUAUCUGUAAAUUCACAUUAGCUAAACUUAGCAAUUCAAAUCUAAGUUAAGAAAAAACAGGCUUGUUUGAAGUGUGGUGUUAGAGAGUUAGAGAGCUGUCAAUCACAGUGCUUCAUGGUCUAUUAUACCCUAAUAAUUUACUAAGUGAACAUCAUGCUGCCUUGAAGACUUGGAACUAGAGAUUGAGACCAUAACCUCAUAUUUACAAUGCUUACCCAGGGAAUAAAUCAAGAGAAAAGUAGAGUCAUUUUCCCAUAGACUUCUAUGGUAAGAGAGGAGUCGCCCCUGGUGGUCACUUGAGAGAAUGCAGCUUUGAGACCCUUCAGCCCUGGCUUCACUCUUCAGACCCAGACAUGAAGCGUACGACUGAUCAGCCUCACUGUGACCUUUUGUCUUUGCUUGUUCAGACGACACAGACUCCCCCAGGAGAACAGUGGUGACUCCAAACUGUCCAGUGGGUUUUGUUCCUCUUAUUCUAUUCUUUCGCCUCCACAUUAAUCCCAUAAAUAUAUCCCAUCUCUUCAUAACUGCACAUAAAUCACUCUCCAUUUCUCCACUCUAUCGUUCUUACACAGCACCCUCCACGUGAACUCUCCGCUGGCAGGGGAUCCACUCAGGUGCCUCUCCAUGUGUGUGUGUGUGUGUGUGCGCAAAAGAAGCAUGUGUCUCGAGUGUGUUUAUGUGCUACAAUAGAGUCCUGUUUGUUUGCAGGGGGAAUCUGUGUGUGUGUGUGUGUGUGUAUGUGAGAGAGAGUCAGGUGUCGAGUUUACCCCCAGAUCGACCCAACCUGGGAAUGAUCUAGUCUCAGAGGGGGAAGCCAAAACUUCUCCACCAUGUAUGUGUGUGUGUGUGUGUGCGUCUAACCCAGAGAUGACUCACAAACCAUCUGGAGGCCAGAUGCAGGUUAGAAAACUACUCUCUCUCUACUCUGUCCCCUCCCUCCCUCCAGUUGCCAUUAGUUCCCUUAGUUAACCUGUGAACUUUGACCUGUGUGCUGUGCAUGUGUGUGAGUUCAUCCUGUGUGUGUCUGUGUGUGUCUUGUCCUGGUGUCCUGGUUAAGUCAACGACGGGGUUGUGACCUUUCUCAGCGGUUGCAAACUCUCCCUCGGUGACCCCCGGAGUUCAAGUUCACUAAUUGUCCCUCAUCCCAGUUAAACAGCCUCCAUCUUUCUCCCCCUUUGGCGGCUCCGCCUCCCUGUCACCUGGUACGUAGAUUAAGUCUGGGAAACAAGACAUUACUAAAAGGUCUUACAGGCCGGUCUCUGAGUUGUUUUCUAUUUAGUUCCAAUUGGCGUUUGUUAAAAAUGAGAUGUUUAAUUUGCCAGAAGAAAGACUCAGGACGUCCAAAAACAAGGAUUCAGAUAUCCGAAAUGAAUGCCAGGGAGUCCUCCCAGUACCUCCGGUUCACAUCUUACACGGCAUUAUGGGAGCAGCGGUUCCCCUGCGGAUGUACUCUGGGUAGUUAAAUCGAAAAGAAUGUGUCCCAUCGGUCCCCGGAGAGCAGAUGAUGACUCCGCAGACCUCAUGAGGACAACGUCUUACGCUUAACCGCAUAAGAACAAAGACGAUCCACCACAGCCCAUUCUUCUGGAGAUAAAACGGGCGUUUAUGUGCUGUCAUACGUUUCAAUACCGUCAAGACUUGAAAGUAAAUCAUCAAAAUAAUUGUGUGUGUGUUCGACUGACACCAGUAAACCAGUAAGAUGUAUCAUCAAUGUAACAAGACAACAGGAAUUCUGUCUAAUGCUCAGCCAAAUGUUCUAAAUUCGUCCCCUGAGAGGUCGAGUCUGUGCGCGGGCGGGACAACAUUGUUUUGAACACCAUCUUCGAAGUGUGAGCAUGUGGUGGACGCGUGAGGUUUGACAGGAGAUGACUGUAUCUCAGGUCCUGAUUGGACCUAAAGCUUUGGUUUUGGUAGGAGGGUGUUGAGGGGUUGCUGAAGGUCCGUUUUUAUAAGCUGUCGAGGCUCAAUCUGUGCAGGUGUGAGAAUGAAAGAAAGAGGCCAAACAAGGACUAGAUGGCAAACCGCCCUUCACUCCCACAGCAUUCCCAAAUUGGCCUCUAUAAACCCUUUGUUUUGGACACUUCCCUUCCUCAGCGCUCCACUGGAUGCUUUUAUUCUGAAGGGCCAUCAGAGGGGAAGCUAAACAGCUGGAUUGUGGAGUAGAAACAACCCCCCAAAAAGGGCCACAAACUACAUUCAGAUUCCAGCUGAGAUGAUCCCAGUUAGCUGCUGGUGGGAGGAGCUUUGCCUCUCCGCCACUGACCACGAGCCUAUCGGGUGGGAAACGAGACACAGGUUGGAUACCAGCUGAGAGAUCAGCAUAUCCAGAUGUUUUGGUAGAACAACAACCCCCAACAAUUAUUUUCCCUAGUUAUCUGAUGAACAUCUUUACUUUUACAACAUACAUUUGUCUCCUCAAAGUUUAGUGUUAUACUAAAUCACAUUAUCUGUUGUUCAAAUGUGAUUUCAUUAUAGUUUAUUAUACCACUGAAGAAUUUUAAUUUAAACCUGCUGACACACUAAAGAGGUUGUUGUAUUCCACUUGAAGUCUAGUUUUGAGGCUUUAAGCUGCAACUCAAACAGCAAAACAGUCUUUGAGAUAGAGUCCAAAUGUUUAAAGUCUAAAUCAAGUCUCUAGUCUUUGAUAAAGAGUCCAACUCAAAUGUCAAGCGUAAAGAGACAUCCCAUCAUAUGGAGGAGUGAAGGGAUUUCUUUACAAUAUCAAUAUCCAGGUUAAAUAUCCAUGGUCCUAACUGAGCAGCUGUCUUGUCAGAGGCCUCACUGGAGAACUGAUUUGGACAACAAGAGCGAAAUGUUGCAGGCGGACGUCGGCGCAAUCACAAAAAACUGCAGCACAACGUGGCCAAGAUGUCAAGAUGUCCGCCUCCAGCCACGAUGGUCCCGACCAAUCGUACGACUGUUCCUCAAUGCCGGGAUCCUCUCUCUCUCUCUCUCGCUCUCUCUCUCUCUCUGACAUUUCCAUGAACCAACUCUUGAUGUUCCUCAGAAGAACAGAGGAGAGGACGAGAGGACGGUUGAAAGACAGGGUUUGGGAAAAAGAAACAAUAGAAAUGUGCCGGGCAGAUGUCCCCCCCCCCACCCCCCUUCCCUUCUUUCCCAAUACUCCUGUUGAAACUGGGGUAAUAUCUCCGGUGUGUGCUGACACGUUUUGGGCAGUGACCAUUCAGGGGGAUUUUAACAGACAGAAACCCGAGUGGGCGCCCGCUACCGUGGGGGGGUGGAAAGACGACAGCAUGGAGUCCCGCCGGGAGAAGGACGUGUGACAGGAACCACCUUGUGAACUCAGCCUAAUUUGGGCAUUUUGUAGAACAUUUACUGCACACACGCAACAAAGAAAGGCCUCAGGAUGGAAAGGAGUUGUGUCAGAGCGUCCUGUAGGAACAAAGGAGAGUCGGGAAACAGACUGUAACUAUACGGCCGCCUGAAUGAAACACAUUCACUGAUGAUGUGUCCGAGUCAAGUUGGUGGUUUUUCCUCAGACCAAAAGUCAAAAGCUGCACGGAUCAAAUUCACAGUUAUCUAACAAAAGGGAACUUAACUGUAUUUACAGUGCGACAGUAAUGCAGCUGAAAUAACACCGGCUGGUGUCCAUCUUUUCCUUUGUGCUCUUCAGAUAGGAUUCUCCUCAUCAUGAAGGUCACACUUUGCACAACGCAGGCCUCACGCUCUUUGGCAGAAGCUCCCUGACCACCACGAAGGGGGAAAUACCAUUUCUGCUCAAAUGAAACACGAGUCCGGGCCAAGCGGCCGUCUUACUCUUUAAAAUCUCACUCCGGCUCGGUGGGGCCGAGCAGCGGAGCGACAUGAGAUUCUCAGAGAAUCGGUUCCGUUUCCCUGCGUUGGCUUCGGCUAACGAUGUUACCAAAGAAAACGUUUUGGACUUCCUGUACGGGAUCUAAUUUGGAAUAGAAAUGUAUUUUUUGUGUAUAUUCACCUGAUUUAAGGGCCUCUUUACGCAAUGCCAAGCCAGAACUCUCCUGGAUCUAGCUCCCUGUACUUCCCUAAAGUUCGCCAGCAUUUUCAGGACUUUGAACCACUUGCUCCUCAUUGUAUUACUCCAGUGUGUGAAUGAAGGACUCCGUCAUUUGUGAUAGACGCUCAGAAACAACAUAUUGAGAAAGAAAAGUUGAGCCAAACCUUUUGAUUUCCUGUUGUUGGGUACUUUCACGCUGAAAAUAUAUCAAAACGGUCUCAAAGCAGAAGCAAACGAACAUGUAGUUUCCUCCCGCUGCAUUGUGCGUCAACGUCCUACUACACUCUACGCUGUCAGAUCUGAUCCUUAAGGGACCAAAACUCCUGCCUCCCCAUUAGAAGGCGGUUUCCGCGCAAACACUGGUCCCUAAAACUUACCCGCUCUGGUUUCUGGGAUGUGCCAACGAAAUGAAAUUCUCCCUGAAACCCAAACAUUCAGUCCGCCGACUACAAAUGUGUCAAGGACGUGUUUGUUUGCAGAAAAUGUGUAAUUACACAGUUUCACAGUCCGUUUACUGUGGGACUCGAACACCUCUUCCGCCACCGAGCUCAAGAACUUUACUUCGCUCACUUUUACUUUCACGUAGGUGUUUAGAGAGGGAGCGAAUUAGAGGGAAUUAUGAAGAGGAGAAAGAAAUGGAAGACAGACAUGCAUUAGCACAUUGUUACUGCAGUGGCCAGUCAGUCUGGGAACCCGUAAUAACCCUUCAACACUAAUGACAAAACCACACACAUGCACGCGCGCACACAGUCUCGAGGUCUCUCCUCCGCCUAUGUAUCUCGUCUCUCUGUAGUCACUUCUACGUCCUCCCUCCUUCUCUAUGGCGCACACACACACACACACACACACACAAAUACAUGAGCGGUGUUGCUGUGUUGAUGGUAAUACCAGGGUUAUUGGGAGGGGAGAGAGUAAUUCCCUCUGACAGCCCCAUUAAGGGAUGAAAUACCACCACUACUAAAAAACGACUUGGGUUUCACUUGUGACGCCGCACCAGCCUACAUUCGAUUUUUCUGGGUUAUUUUGAGGGCAAUCUGGAGCGGCAAAAUGGCAUGAAAAACUAAAAUAAAAAUGAAUACGUCGGUGUUUGUCGCGUUCGGGACGCCCAAGUGUUCGCCCGCCAAUUCCUUUUGCCCGCGUAUUUCUCCGUCAGCAGGAAAUCUAUAUGGCACUGGUUGUUUUCACUCUGGCUCAAGAGUUGCUUAUAAAUCACGGAUGAAGAGUGGACCACCGGCUCCGACUCAAAAACACGGUGGACCGGAGAGUAAAUCAGGGUCAGGUGGGCUUCAAUAAGCAGCCUUAACAAUCGCCAUCCAUCAACCGGAUUUCUUUAUGAAAAUAAAAAGAGAAAUCUGAGAUGUUCCAGCUUAUAGGCUCGUCACUUUUGUUUUACACCACAAAUUAACCCAAAGUGUCUUUAUACAGGCCAGAUUUUUAAUAGUACAUGAUUGGACCUCGACCAUGUUGCUGACAUCUGUGUUAACAGAAUUUACCACUGUGGAUGUGGUGUGUGUAAACACUGCUAACCCACCAAUGACUCCAAACCAACAUAAGCAUUACCUAAAGGGAGAACAUUAGUUGGGUAUUUACAAGCAGAGGCAGAGGAACAUUGGCAUUUGCUUGAAGCUGUGUUCAAAGCUACUUGAUGAAUUUUAGUGGAACGCUCACUUUCCUUUUAGCUCUGGUUCGGUCUCCUCCAACGGAAAA